GCACCCAAACUAUGCUGCAUAAAUAAAUUUGCAAAAUCAAUAUCAUCUAAGUUUAACAACUUUUCUUUAACUCUUGUUCCUCGAUUGUAUAAGAGUCCCACCUUAAAUUUGUAAAGUGCGCUGGAAAUACCCAUCAAGUAACUUUGAUAUCCCAAGAAGUGUAACAGUGAGUCAGAGUGGUAAUUUCUUCCACAUUCAACAUUUCAGCCUUAAUAUAUACACAGUGUAGAUACUAUUCUGUACGCUAUCCGGAAGUCGCGAUUUUCAAAGCGAUGAUUUCCAACUGGCUAACAGGACGGUUUUGCCUACGGUGAUUUUUCUAAUCAUUUGUUUACUCAUAUCCAUAAAGUGCUUUGAACAUCUUCAAGGUAUGUAUAGCAUCUUAAAUAUGAAUAACUG
Molecule: long non-coding RNA, 399 nt
Filed under: Mytilus galloprovincialis (Mediterranean mussel)
Lineage: Eukaryota; Metazoa; Mollusca; Bivalvia; Mytilida; Mytilidae
Source: RNAcentral